This 823-nucleotide ribosomal RNA is filed under the name uncultured archaeon. RNAcentral's name for it is "bacterial SSU rRNA". It matches the Rfam family "Archaeal small subunit ribosomal RNA", at positions 44 to 776 of the family's 1478-position model. The record is from RNAcentral.
UUAAGCCAUGCGAGUCCAGGGGGGCUUUGCCCACCGGCGGACGGCUCAGUAACACGUGGACAACCUGUCCUCGGGAGGGGGAUAACCCUGGGAAACUGGGACUAAACCCCCAUAGGCCAUGGAGGCUGGAAGGCGCCAUGGCUGAAAUUCCGCAAGGAGCCCGAGGAUGGGUCUGCGGCCUAUCAGGUCGUAGUGGGGGUAACGGCCCCACUAGCCUACGACGGGUACGGGCCCUGAGAGGGGGUGCCCGGAGAUGGACUCUGAGACACGAGUCCAGGCCCUACGGGGCGCAGCAGGCGCGAAAACUCCGCAAUGCUCGAAAGAGCGACGGGGGAACUCCGAGUGCCUACGCUUUGCGUAGGCUUUUCCUGAGCCUAAAAAGCUCAGGGAAUAAGGGCUGGGUAAGACGGGUGCCAUCUGUGAUGGUAGUCAUAGAUUUGACUUGCCGUCGCAAGGCAUAAGCCGCCGCGGUAAUACCCGCAGCUCGAGUGGUGGCCGCUAUUAUUGGGCCUAAAGCGUCCGUAGCCGGUCUGAUAAAUGCCUGGGUAAAUCGUAGAGCUCAACUCUACGGCUCCCAGGUAGACUGUCAGACUCGGGACCGGAGGAGGGAGAGGGUACUCCAGGGGUAGGGGUGAAAUCAGCAGAGCAUCACUCUGAUGAUGUGAAUUGCUCUGCAAGUCACAAUCCUGUAAUCCCUGGGGGACCACCGGUGGCGAAGGCGCUCUCCUAGGACGGGUCCGACGGUGAGGGACGAAAGCCAGGGGAGCAAACCGGAUUAGAUACCCGGGUAGUCCUGGCCGUAAACGAUGUGGACUUGGUAUUG